Molecule: ribosomal RNA, 497 nt
Filed under: uncultured bacterium
Lineage: Bacteria
Description: partial 16S ribosomal RNA
Rfam family: Bacterial small subunit ribosomal RNA
Source: RNAcentral
GACGAACGCUGGCGGCGUGCCUAAUACAUGCAAGUCGAGCGAACAGAUGAGGAGCUUGCUCCUCUGACGUUAGCGGCGGACGGGUGAGUAACACGUGGAUAACCUACCUAUAAGACUGGGAUAACUUCGGGAAACCGGAGCUAAUACCGGAUAAUAUAUUGAACCGCAGGGUUCAAUAGUGAAAGACGGUUUUGCUGUCACUUAUAGAUGGAUCCGCGCCGCAUUAGCUAGUUGGUAAGGUAACGGCUUACCAAGGCAACGAUGCGUAGCCGACCUGAGAGGGUGAUCGGCCACACUGGAACUGAGACACGGUCCAGACUCCUACGGGAGGCAGCAGUAGGGAAUCUUCCGCAAUGGGCGCAAGCCUGACGGAGCAACGCCGCGUGAGUGAUGAAGGUCUUCGGAUCGUAAAACUCUGUUAUUAGGGAAGAACAAAUGUGUAAGUAACUAUGCACGUCUUGACGGUACCUAAUCAGAAAGCCACGGCUAACUACGUG